AUGCCAUUAAUGGAUGGCACAAGAAGCGGCAGCCUUAGGGCAGUCCCCAAAAUGUUUUCUUUCAUUAUUUUUAUGAUCCGGGAACCGCCCCACACAAGAGAGCUGGAAUCCUCUGGUCUUGAUCCUCGGGAGGAAACUGUGACAGGAGAGGGGCAGGCGUCCUCCCCGCUUUCCAAACGAGACCGGGCUCCGCUGGACUGCGGACUGGCCCAGAGUCCCCAGCAGGGCCCGGCCCACCCCGUGCUGCUCCGAGGGUCUGUCGCACAGAACAGCGGGAAACGAGCAUUCAGUCGUCGUCGUCGUCGUCUUCAAGGAUCUCGGGGCGCCGAUGCUGGGAAACACGGACCGUGGCCGCGAAUGCAGGAGUGCAGAGUGUGACUGCGGGGGAAGAGCUGUCCGUUGCAGGGCAUGAAGGAAGGCUUCCUGGAGGAGGUGCCCUUGGAGCUGGUCCGGAAGUUGGGAGGAGGGGUUCCGCGGGGUAUUCUGGAAUGAAGAAGGAGCUUAAGCCAGAACAAGCGCCGGCUCCUACUGAGAAAGGACUGUGGGAGAGAAACUGGGGGGCAAGAAAAUCCUGGGGAACAGGGGCAGUGAAGCAGCUCCUGGGCUCACGCACGCGGCUCUCAGAGGGCGCACCUUUCACCCGCUCCUGGUUCAGAGAAGAUUCAGACCCGCGGAUGCUCACCUGCCGGGGGAGCCAGCGGUGAGCCCGGCUCAGCAUUGCCUUUCUCCCCGGGACCCAGGACCCAGCCAUAACCAGGCCUGGAGGCCUCCACGGGCAGCGGGUGGUCAGCAGAGCGCCUCCUGUGGCCUCUCGAGUGGCCCGGGCCUCCUCAUGGUGGUGGCCGGAGCCAACAGUGGUGUCCCAGGAGGGCUGGGUGGGGAGUCCCUGGGCCUGGUGGCAGUGCAGCCGGACUCAGGGACGGAGCACAGACCACCUCUUCAUGUCAGAAGCUGCGAGUCCGGGAUUUUGGAAGACACUGAGGUUGCACGCCCGGGCUGCACGCACGCGGCUCUCAGGUGUUGCUGAGUCUCUGCGCGCUGCUGUCAGUGUGGACAGGGUGCCUUGUGUCUCCUGGCCUUUGCUGACCGUGUGAACACGUACAGAUGAGGCUGGGCUGCUCCUUUGGCGCCGCAAGGAUGGCAGAGGCCGUGGGCCUGGGGUGACUGCUAUUCCGGAUGUUGCUGCAGAAGGUGGGGGAUGGGGCACAGGUGAGCCCCCAGGAGCGGGGCUCUGGGAAGCACCCUGAUCAGAGCAGGAGGCCCAAGUCCUGCCUGCUGCUGGCGGUGGGCACGUCCUGGACCCUGGAGGCCUGGGGCCCUCGUCAGCUCUAAGAUGCUCAGUGUUUCCUGAGCGACGCGGGUCCUUGGCCCCAGAGGU
Molecule: long non-coding RNA, 1378 nt
Filed under: Sus scrofa (pig)
Lineage: Eukaryota; Metazoa; Chordata; Mammalia; Artiodactyla; Suidae
Description: lncRNA (ENSSSCG00070003542.1)
Source: RNAcentral